Molecule: ribosomal RNA, 577 nt
Filed under: uncultured bacterium
Lineage: Bacteria
Description: bacterial SSU rRNA
Rfam family: Bacterial small subunit ribosomal RNA
Source: RNAcentral
GCGAACGGUCGCGUAACACGUGGGCAACCUGCCCUGAAGCGGGGGACAACAACUCGAAGGAGUUGCUAAUACCGCAUGGGGAUCGCUCUGGCAUCAGAGAUUAUCCAAAGCCUUCGGGCACUUCAGGAUGGGCCCGCGGUUAUCAGCUUGUUGGUGAGGUAACGGCCCACCAAGGCUUCGACGGGUAGCUGGUCUGAGAGGACGAUCAGCCGGAUUGGGACUGAGAUACGGCCCAGACUCCUACGGGGGGCAGCAAUUAGGAAUCUUGCACAAUGGGCGAAAGCCUGAUUGCAGCGACGUCGCGUGAGGGAUGAAGUCUUUCGGGACGUAAACCUCUUUUAUCGGGGAAGAAACAAAUGACGGUACCCGGUGAAUAAGCCCCGGCUAACUACGUGCCAGCAGCCGCGGUAAUACGUAGGGGGCCAGCGUUGUCCGAAGUUACGGGGCGUAAAGAGCGCGUAGGCGGGUUUUUAAGUGAGGGGUGAAAGGUUCAGGGCUCAACCCGGACACUGCCUUUCAUACUGGGAACCUUGAGUAUGGGAGAGGCGAGUGGAAUUCUUGGUGUAGCGGUGAAAUG